Molecule: non-coding RNA, 1728 nt
Organism: Arvicola amphibius (Eurasian water vole)
Lineage: Eukaryota; Metazoa; Chordata; Mammalia; Rodentia; Cricetidae
Source: the annotation of a RefSeq genome assembly
AUGUCCCCACUAAACUCACCAAGGCCCAGUGUAAACUUCACUGUCCCAAUCUCAACCCCCACAGUGUCUCCACGCUGUCUGCUCAUGUAUCCUAGCCGGGCCCCUUGCCAUCCCCAGUCUCUUACCUGUAUGAAAGGAACUGCAGGAGGGAGGGGCCUCUGUCUCACCCACAUAAUUGAAGGGCCUGACCUUGGCCCUGACAUUCAGAAACUAGGCACAAUUGCCCAGGCCAGUGAGCCAGCCGUGCAGGCCCCUCUACCUCCCACCUGGUCCUGUGUCCUCCCGGGGCCUCCCUCAGUGAGUCACUCACAGCUAGAAUCCAGUCCUGCCACCCAGAAUCACCACAAGCUUGGGCACCUCCUCCCUACAGAUAGUUUCUUCGCACUGGAGACUGCCCUGCUCCCAUGGGCAGGCUGGGAAGCAGGGCCCAAGCCCAGGGGACCCCCAGACUGGCCAGUCUCUGUCCAGAACCCUUUUGUCUAUGCCUUGAAGCCCUGUAAAGCAGACAGCAUCUUCGUGACACGGGGCUGCCUGGUAAAGGACUACUUCCCUGGCCCGGUGACUGUGACCUGGUCUCCAAACUCCCCGAACAUAAGCUCCGUGAACUUCCCUGCCGUGGGCUCUGAACUCAAGGUCACCACCAGCCUAGUGACCACCUGGAACAAAUCAGUCAAGAACUUCACUUGUCAGGUGACACAUACCCCAUCCGGAUUCAACGAGGGUAAGGUGAUCAGAGUGUCACCUGCCAAUAUCACCAAGCCCAUCUUGAAGCUGCUCCACUCAUCCUGUGACCCCAAGGCCUUCCACUCCACUGUCCAGCUCUACUGCUUCAUCUAUGGUCAUAUUCCAGGUGAUGCCACUGUCACCUGGCUAAAAGAUGGACAGAAGAUGCCUAAUGUAUUUCCACGUUAUUUCCUAAUCAAGAAGGAGGGCAAUCUGGCCUCUAGCUACAGUGAACUCAACAUCACCAGGGAUCAAUGGAUGUCUGAGAGCGUCUUCACCUGCCAGGUCACGUCCCAAGAUAGGGACUAUCUGGCCUCUGCCCAGAAGUGCUCAGAUUAUGCGCCACGUGGCGUGAAUACCUACCUGAUCCCACCCAGCCCCCUGGACCUGUAUGUACUUAAGACUCCCAAGCUUACCUGUCUGGUGGUGGACCUGGAAAGCAAAGAGAAUGCCACUGUGACAUGGACCCAAGAGCAUGGGAAUCCUGUGGGCUCAGCAUUCCAGAGUUCCAUCAGGCACCAAAAUGCAACAAUUAGCAUCACCUCCACCCUCCCAGUGGACGCCAAUGACUGGAUUGAAGGCGAAGGGUAUAAGUGCGAAGUGAACCACCCUCACCUGCCCAAGCCCAUUGUGCGGUCCAUCUCCAAGGGCCCGGGCCAGCGCUCAGCCCCAGAGGUGUACGUGUUCCCACCACCAGAGAAGGAGAACAAGGGCAAACUCACACUCACCUGUCUGAUCCAGAACUUCUUCCCUGAGGACAUCUCAGUGCUGUGGCUGAAGGAUGGGGUGCUGAUCCCAGUGGCCCAGUACAGAACCACAGCACCCCUGAAGUCCAAUGGCCCCCGUCAAGGCUUCUUCAUCUUCAGCCGCCUAGAGGUCUCCAAGGCACACUGGGAAGAGAAUAAAAAAUUCACCUGCCAAGUGAUCCACGAGGCACUGAAAGAGCCUAGGACUCUGGAGGAAACAAUAUCCAAGAUCCCUGGUAAAUGAUGCUUCCCUCCAUCC